CGCAUCUGUGCAUGCAGCAUAUCAAUAAGCGGAGGAAAAGAAACUAACAAGGAUUCCCUUAGUAACGGCGAGUGAAGCGGGAAGAGCUCAAAUUUGAAAUCUUCAAGGUUUUACCUUGACGAAUUGUAGUUUAAAGAAGUGUUUUCUGUUGAAGUUUUGGUAAAAGUUCUUUGGAAUAGGACAUCAUAGAGGGUGAGAAUCCCGUAUUUGACCAUUAUUUUCAGCUGUGUGAUACACUUUCAAAGAGUCGGAUUGUUUGGGAAUGCAGUCCAAAAUGGGUGGUAAAUUUCAUCUAAAGCUAAAUAUUGGCGAGAGACCGAUAGGCGAACAAGUACCGUGAGGGAAAGAUGAAAAGAACUUUGAAAAGAGAGUCAAACAGUACGUGAAAUUGUCAAAAGGGAAGCGUUUGACACCAGUGUUGUUUUCUCGAAAAUCAAUUAAAAAGAGUUAGAUUUUGUUGUGUAUUGACCUUAACAGCUUGCAUUUCAAUUUUCUUGCUUUUUUUAAUGCACUUUUCGUUUAACAAGUCAACAUCAGUUUCUUUUGUUGUAAAAAGGUCAUUGGAAGGUGGCUUUCUUUUCGGAGAAAGUGUUUAUAGCCUUUGACUCCUGCAAUCGGAGAGACUGAGGUCUGCAGCGUAGAUCCUUCGGGGUUAGAUACAUUUGUGCUAAGUUAUAGCUUUUUAUAGACAACUUGUUGACUAUGAUUAGUCUUGUAGCUUACUCGCUUAUGCUAUUUUACCUACGCUUAGGAUGUUGACACACGCGCGUGCUCG
RNAcentral lists this ribosomal RNA (775 nucleotides) under uncultured Neocallimastigales. Its description in RNAcentral is "partial large subunit ribosomal RNA". It matches the Rfam family "Eukaryotic large subunit ribosomal RNA", at positions 26 to 644 of the family's 3401-position model. The record is from RNAcentral. Lineage: Eukaryota; Fungi; Neocallimastigomycota; Neocallimastigomycetes; Neocallimastigales.